RNAcentral lists this ribosomal RNA (253 nucleotides) under uncultured bacterium. RNAcentral describes it as "partial 16S ribosomal RNA". It matches the Rfam family "Bacterial small subunit ribosomal RNA", at positions 524 to 776 of the family's 1533-position model. The record is from RNAcentral.
UACGUAGGGGGCUAGCGUUGUCCGGAAUCAUUGGGCGUAAAGCGCGUGUAGGCGGCCCGAUAAGUCCGCUGUGAAAGUCCAGGGCUCAACCCUGGGAUGCCGGUGGAUACUGUCGGGCUCGAGUCCGGAAGAGGCGAGUGGAAUUCCUGGUGUAGCGGUGAAAUGCGCAGAUAUCAGGAGGAACACCAAUGGCGAAGGCAGCUCGCUGGGACGGGACUGACGCUGAGACGCGAAAGCGUGGGGAGCAAACAGG